GGUUCCAUAGUGUAGCGGUUAGCAUGUCUGCUUUAUACACAGAAGAUCCUGGGUUCAUGCCCCAGCGGAGCCA
This 73-nucleotide transfer RNA is filed under the name Pteropus alecto (black flying fox). It matches the Rfam family "tRNA". Rfam says of the family: Transfer RNA (tRNA) molecules are approximately 80 nucleotides in length. Their secondary structure includes four short double-helical elements and three loops (D, anti-codon, and T loops). The record is from Rfam by way of RNAcentral. Lineage: Eukaryota; Metazoa; Chordata; Mammalia; Chiroptera; Pteropodidae.